UGGGAACCAAUCUGCGAAUAGAUUUUUUUCUUACAUUUCUUUUUCUUUUACAAUUAUUAAAGUGGCACCUUAAAAUAUAUAUUAACCGUUUCCACGCAGAGCAGCUGUACUCAAAUAAUGACUACUAGCUUUUGCGCAAUCGAUAAUAUGAUCGUCUUACGCAACAUUACAAAACUGUAGCUACUGAUUUCCUGGAAUAGUCAUAACCCUGCAGGAGCUCAGGUGCCAGGUUUGUUUAAAAAGUGAGCAUCUGAAGCCAAGCCAAAAUGACAUGCCCAACCCGAGACAUCCCCAUCCACAGCUGGCCAGGCUCCUACUACAUCAACAGUGAGAAGCGCUGGGAUGCCGGCACCCUGUCCCUGACCCGCACCAUGCUGCGCUUCACCUCAUACCAGAGCAAAGAGAACCUGGUUGGCUUCCGCCUCUCAAGGAUCAUGGAGAUCAAGAUGGAGUCGUCCAGCUUCAUCUUCAGCACUCUGACUGUGUUGGAGCAUGGGAAUAUCAAGCACUGGUUCGGCUCGCUGAGGCCCAACCGGGUGGUGGUCUACAAUGUCCUGGAGCAUUUCUGGAGGGAGAGGUUGUUGUCCCCAUCUGCUGAGGUUCAGGGGGCCGAGGCACAGCCGACCAAGGGGAGGGAGCUGAUUAACCUGGUUGCGGGGGCUCAGAGACGGCUAGAGGACACAGGGAAUGUCCUCCACCACCAGGGAGAGCAGUUUGAUAACAUCAUGCAUGGCCUAGGCAAGAUCGACUCUGAUCUGGGCGUGGCAGACAGGCUACUGUCUGAACUGGAGUCUCCCCCUUGGUGGCCUUUUGGCAAACUACCCUGGAAGAGUCAGCAGGAUGUCAAGGCUGAGCAUGCUGCCAGAGAGGCUGCUUGUAAGGGAACAGGAACAGGCAAGCACAGAGUGAUCACCAGCGUACCAGCCAUCGUCUCCAGAGGUGGAGACUCAAACCUGAAGCCUGGUUGCUUGAUGGUGAUGGUCUCCUCAUUAGAAGUCCGAGACACAAACUAUGUGCUCCUCCACCGCUUUCAGAGGGAUGAGGUGGAUGACAUCCGGGUGCACAAUCCGUAUGAGAUCAGUGUGAGGCAGAGGUUCAUAGGGAAGCCAGACAUAUGCUUCCGACUCCUGUCGGCUAAGAUGCCGGAGGCCAUGUCAGUGCUAGAGAUACAGUAUAAGAAGAAGGUGGAGUACACAAGUGAGUACUCUGCCUUCAUGACGACCCCAGCUACGACCCCAUGUGACCAGGAUCAAGGUUCAAUAUGGAAUGCAGCAGGCCUGCUGCAGUACCAGGAGACAGAGGUCCCCAUGACAGUCCCAGCAGGAGAGCUGUCCCAGUUGCAGGUGCAUGUCCUUAAGCCAGAGGUCACUCAGGCUGAGGCUCAGGAAAUCCGACAGAUGCUGAUGCAGCUGAAAAACCUGGCUCUGGAGGCUGAGACUGAGCUGGAGAGGCAAGACGAGGCCCUGGAUAUUCUGACCAGCUCUACGGACCGGGCCACUAUGCACAUAGACAAACAUACCUGCCGCAUGAAGAGGCUGCUGUAGUUCACACACCAGCCAACCGGCUCACUACAGCGCAGUCCAGAAAUGCGCUGUGAGUUGCUGUUACCUUACGACAAAUUUGCAGGUGUCAGUAAAGCCAUCCCCUCCCUCCCUGCACAUGGUUUCCCUCCAGCUCCCCUCCAGCUCCAAGUGUUGCAUGUCCCCAUGUUGCUGCAGAGUAAGUGAUGCAUCGAGUGGGAUCACUGUAUUAUAAUCCAGUUUGCAGUGGGUAUGUAACAAAGUCCCUUGAAACUGUGUCCCUUGAAAUUCACAGAAUACUAUUUGGUUACUACCUAUUCUAUAAUGUACAGUACAAGAAAAAGCAGACGGCAACUUACAAUCUUUCUAACAUUGACUCUGGAUUUGGGGAUAUCUGUAUAAUCUUAUUUGUAUGAAUGACUUGCAUACUUCUAUGUUGUACUGUAAUUUAUUUAUUGUCUAUUUAUCAUUGAUAAACUGUGAUUUAAACCCAAAAUAUCUGGUAAAUCAUGUUUUUCUU
Molecule: RNA transcript, 2040 nt
Organism: Salvelinus namaycush (lake trout)
Lineage: Eukaryota; Metazoa; Chordata; Actinopteri; Salmoniformes; Salmonidae
Gene name: synaptosomal-associated protein 47-like
Exons: 6
Source: RefSeq, a predicted model, not a curated record